Molecule: ribosomal RNA, 497 nt
Filed under: uncultured bacterium
Lineage: Bacteria
Description: partial 16S ribosomal RNA
Rfam family: Bacterial small subunit ribosomal RNA
Source: RNAcentral
GACGAACGCUGGCGGCGUGCCUAAUACAUGCAAGUUGAGCGCUGAAGGUUGGUACUUGUACCAACUGGAUGAGCAGCGAACGGGUGAGUAACGCGUGGGGAAUCUGCCUUUGAGCGGGGGACAACAUUUGGAAACGAAUGCUAAUACCGCAUAAAAACUUUAAACACAAGUUUUAAGUUUUAAAGAUGCAAUUGCAUCACUCAAAGAUGAUCCCGCGUUGUAUUAGCUAGUUGGUGAGGUAAAGGCUCACCAAGGCGAUGAUACAUAGCCGACCUGAGAGGGUGAUCGGCAACAUUGGGACUGAGACACGGCCCAAACUCCUACGGGAGGCAGCAGUAGGGAAUCUUAGGCAAUGGACGAAAGUCUGAAAGAGCAACGCCGCGUGAGUGAAGAAGGUGUUCGGAUCGUAAAACUAUGUUGGUAGAGAAGAACGUUGGUGAGAGUGGAAAGCUCAUCAAGUGACGGUAACUACCCAGAAAGGGACGGAUAACUACGUG